RNAcentral lists this ribosomal RNA (426 nucleotides) under uncultured bacterium. RNAcentral describes it as "partial 16S ribosomal RNA". It matches the Rfam family "Bacterial small subunit ribosomal RNA", at positions 354 to 796 of the family's 1533-position model. The record is from RNAcentral.
GUGAGGAAUUUUCCGCAAUGGGCGAAAGCCUGACGGAGCAAUGCCACGUGAAGGAUGAAGGCCUAUGGGUUGUAAACUUCUUUUCUCAGAAAAGAAUUAUGACGGUAUCUGAGGAAUAAGCAUCGGCUAACUCUGUGCCAGCAGCCGCGGUAAGACAGAGGAUGCAAGCGUUAUCCGGAAUGAUUGGGCGUAAAGCGUCUGUAGGUUGUUUAAAAAGUAUUCUGUCAAAGAUUAGGGCUUAACCCUAGAUAGGCAGAAUAAACUUUUAAGCUAGAGUUUGGUAGAGGCAGAGGGAAUUCCCGGUGGAGCGGUGAAAUGCGUAGAUAUCGGGAGGAACACCAAAGGCGAAGGCACUCUGCUGGGCCAAUACUAACACUGAGAGACGAAAGCGAGGGGAGCAAAUGGGAUUAGAAACCCUUGUAGUCC